RNAcentral lists this ribosomal RNA (857 nucleotides) under uncultured bacterium. RNAcentral describes it as "bacterial SSU rRNA". It matches the Rfam family "Bacterial small subunit ribosomal RNA", at positions 60 to 907 of the family's 1533-position model. The record is from RNAcentral.
AGUCGAGGGGAAACGACAUCGAAAGCUUGCUUUUGAUGGGUGUCGACCGGCGCACGGGUGAGUAACGCGUAUCCAACCUGCCCACCACAUGGGGAUAACCUUGCGAAAGUAAGACUAAUACCCAAUGAUAUCUCUAGAAGACAUCUGAAAGAGAUUAAAGAUUUAUCGGUGAUGGAUGGGGAUGCGUCUGAUUAGCUUGUUGGCGGGGUAACGGCCCACCAAGGCGACGAUCAGUAGGGGUUCUGAGAGGAAGGUCCCCCACAUUGGAACUGAGACACGGUCCAAACUCCUACGGGAGGCAGCAGUGAGGAGUAUUGGUCAAUGGACGAGAGUCUGAACCAGCCAAGUAGCGUGCAGGAUGACGGCCCUAUGGGUUGUAAACUGCUUUUAUAAGGGAAUAAAGUGAGUCUCGUGAGACUUUUUGCAUGUACCUUAUGAAUAAGGACCGGCUAAUUCCGUGCCAGCAGCCGCGGUAAUACGGAGGAUUCAAGCGUUAUCCGGAUUUAUUGGGUUUAAAGGGAGCGUAGGCCGGAGAUUAAGCGUGUUGUGAAAUGUAGACGCUCAACGUCUGCACUGCAGCGCGAACUGGUUUCCUUGAGUACGCACAAAGUGGGCGGAAUUCGUGGUGUAGCGGUGAAAUGCUUAGAUAUCACGAAGAACUCCGAUUGCGAAGGCAGCUCACUGGAGCGCAACUGACGCUGAAGCUCGAAAGUGCGGGUAUCGAACAGGAUUAGAUACCCUGGUAGUCCGCACGGUAAACGAUGGAUGCCCGCUGUUGGUCUGAAUAGGUCAGCGGCCAAGCGAAAGCAUUAAGCAUCCCACCUGGGGAGUACGCCGGCAACGGUGAAACUCAAAGG